This 437-nucleotide ribosomal RNA is filed under the name uncultured bacterium. Its description in RNAcentral is "bacterial SSU rRNA". It matches the Rfam family "Bacterial small subunit ribosomal RNA", at positions 958 to 1392 of the family's 1533-position model. The record is from RNAcentral.
AACGCGAAGAACCUUACCUGGGCUUGACAUUGAUAGAAUCCUAUAGAGAUAUGGGAGUGCCAGUUUACUGGAGCUUGAAAACAGGUGCUGCACGGCUGUCGUCAGCUCGUGUCGUGAGAUGUUGGGUUAAGUCCCGCAACGAGCGCAACCCUCGUCACUAGUUGCUAACGGUUCGGCCGAGCACUCUAGUGAGACUGCCUUCGCAAGGAGGAGGAAGGUGAGGACGACGUCAAGUCAUCAUGGCCCUUACGCCCAGGGCUACACACGUGCUACAAUGGUGUGUACAAAGAGAAGCAAUACCGCGAGGUGGAGCAAAUCUUUAAAACACAUCUCAGUUCGGAUUGUAGUCUGCAACUCGACUACAUGAAGCUGGAAUCGCUAGUAAUCGUAGAUCAGCAAUGCUACGGUGAAUACGUUCCCGGGUCUUGUACACACCG